UCCAUAAGAAGUUCUGAAGGU
RNAcentral lists this microRNA (21 nucleotides) under Monodelphis domestica (gray short-tailed opossum). RNAcentral's name for it is "mdo-miR-7340-3p". The record is from miRBase by way of RNAcentral. Lineage: Eukaryota; Metazoa; Chordata; Mammalia; Didelphimorphia; Didelphidae.